Molecule: long non-coding RNA, 1684 nt
Filed under: Pan troglodytes (chimpanzee)
Lineage: Eukaryota; Metazoa; Chordata; Mammalia; Primates; Hominidae
Description: long non-coding RNA NONPTRT012813
Source: RNAcentral
GGUUCUUGCAGCAGACAUUUAUCAUUGCUGGUUUCGAUUCAUGCAUUGUAGCUUUGGUGAGUGUUAUUGUGUCAACGAUAGUGAAUAAUUUCCAGCACCACAUUAUGUCCAGAUUAGAGUCUGCAUCGAUUGCUGAUCAAAAUCUCAGACCAAGGUUUGCUGCAGGUAACUGAAACCAUGGAGAGCAAAACUGUCCAUAGGGGGAAUCCAUUGCAUUUUCAAGACUCAACGGAAGGCAGAGGAGUGGGAAAGCUUCAGAGUAGAAAAAAGAGAAGGCAUCAGGUGUGCCCUGAUGGAGACCAUGGCCUGGGGAAGCUGCAGGCGGGCUGGCUAGAGGAAACAUUCCUAGGUGGUUGAGGAGGGUGACUUACGACUUCCUCUCAAAGAUAUCUAAACCAAGACGUCUUCAACUUUAGCCUGCAUAUGCAUCACCUGGAAAUCGAGGUGUAGGGUGGGCCCUGAGUUUGCCUUUCUAAGGAGAGAUGCUAACAAGAUCUGGACCAUCAGCCACUCAAGACCUUUAACAUGUUUCAUACCUGUCGACACCCUGAUACACCUUGGCCUCUGAAAUACUUUACAAGCUUUGCUAAAGAACACGUUCAUAAUGUACCAGUUCUUUAGCACUGAUUCCCUUAGGGAAAUCUGUUCUUCAAGGCAAGUUUCCCAUUGCAGUUCUCUAUCAACCUGGCGGGGUAAGUUACUGCCAAUCAUUGACCAAGCAGCACAGAUCGGGAGAACUCCGUACCUUGGCUCUAUAAGCAACAUCACUGUUCAGAAUGGUCAUCCGAAGCAUGCACAUUGGAGAUACUAUGAACUCUGAUCACGUAAAUGAAGGAUUCACUGUACUUUUGUAAGCAGACAGAGAGGGUUUCCAGGGAUUUUAGGAAAUGAAUAAUCAACCUGAGCAAGCAGCCUGUUUUACAGCCUCUUGCCCUGCAGCCUGUGUGGAAUGCAGUCGCCUUGCUGGUUGGAACCAGCAACUGACAGACCCCAGCAACUUAUAGAUGAACCCCAGUGAAGUUUCUUCAUGCCAUGCUAAAGCCCUCCUCCCCUAGAGGAGCUAUAGCUUUAUUAUCAUAACCUGUGACCCAUCAUGGCAUGUAGAGGGGGUGUCUGGGCCACUGGGACCCCCCCAUACACAUGCCAUGAUGCACCUCUCCCUUCUCCAUCACUCCAUCAAACCCUCCUGUCACUUUCCCUUGGGAAGAUACGGCUUUGGAGAACACUUCCCGUGUGUGUCUUACUUAUGCCAAGUAACACAAUGCCUAUUGAUCAAAAUCUGAGUUCUCCUGGAGAGUCGUUUGUUACUCACCAGGCAAAUAAGCCCCAGUUUUUGGGAGGUAACAUUAUGAAAUAUUCUGAAGUAGUCCCAUGAAAGAUUUCUACUUUCCUUUUCAAAUUAUUCAUAAAUAAAUGAGCUUGCUUUGGGCUAUGGAGAUAGUUUUACAUGAAUAAAUCAAUUCCUCUGAGCAGGGGCACCAGUGUGGAGAUACAGGCUGACCCACCAGCUCUCGCCUGUCCCUGGGUGGGAGGGGCUGAGCCGGUGCCUCCCCUGGAUUGUUUCCUGUUUAGGCAUUGCCAGAGGCGGGAUGAGAAGAAAGGGCUGUGGGGAUCUGAGGCUUGGAAUUCCAAGAUUGCUCCCAACUAAGCUGUGGUGCUUAGAUGGACACCUGCACACCCCGUU